UGGGGAAUAUUGGGCAAUGGAGGAAACUCUGAUGCAGCGAUGCCGCGUGAGUGAAGAAGGCCUUUGGGUUGUAAAGCUCUUUUGUAGGGGAAGAUAAUGACUGUACCCUAAGAAUAAGGUCCGGCUAACUUCGUG
RNAcentral lists this ribosomal RNA (135 nucleotides) under uncultured bacterium. RNAcentral's name for it is "partial 16S ribosomal RNA". It matches the Rfam family "Bacterial small subunit ribosomal RNA", at positions 355 to 507 of the family's 1533-position model. The record is from RNAcentral.